RNAcentral lists this ribosomal RNA (777 nucleotides) under uncultured bacterium. Its description in RNAcentral is "bacterial SSU rRNA". It matches the Rfam family "Bacterial small subunit ribosomal RNA", at positions 244 to 1012 of the family's 1533-position model. The record is from RNAcentral.
GCUAGUUGGUGAGAUAAUAGCUCACCAAGGCGGUGAUACGUAGCAGACCUGAGAGGGUAAUCUGCCACAAUGGGACUGAGACACGGCCCAUACUCCUACGGGAGGCAGCAGUAGGGAAUCUUCCACAAUGGACGAAAGUCUGAUGGAGCAACGCCGCGUGAGUGAAGAAGGGUUUCGGCUCGUAAAACUCUGUUGUUAGAGAAGAACGGCUGUGAGAGUAACUGCUCACAGUGUGACGGUAUCUAACCAGAAAGUCACGGCUAACUACGUGCCAGCAGCCGCGGUAAUACGUAGGUGGCAAACGUUGUCCGGAUUUAUUGGGCGUAAAGGGAGCGCAGGCGGUUUAUUAAGUCUGAUGUGAAAGCCUUCGGCUUAACCGGAGAAGUGCAUCGGAAACUGAUAAACUUGAGUGCAGAAAAGGAUAGUGGAACUUCAUGUGUAGCGGUGAAAUGCGUAGAUAUAUGAAGGAACACCAGUGGCGAAGGCGGCUAUCUGGUCUGUAACUGACGCUGAGGCUCGAAAGCAUGGGUAGUAAACAGGAUUAGAUACCCUGGUAGUCCAUGCCGUAAACGAUGAAUGCUAGGUGUUGGGAGGUUUCCGCCUCUCAGUGCCGCAGCUAACGCAUUAAGCAUUCCGCCUGGGGAGUACGACCGCAAGGUUGAAACUCAAAGGAAUUGACGGGGACCCGCACAAGCGGUGGAGCAUGUGGUUUAAUUCGAUGCUACGCGAAGAACCUUACCAGGACUUGACAUCUUCUGCCAAUCUAAGAGAUUAGAC